UACAGAGGGUGCGAGCGUUAAUCGGAAUUACUGGGCGUAAAGGGUGCGUAGGUGGUUGUAUAAGUUAGGUGUGAAAUUCCUGGGCUUAACCUGGGGACUGUGCCUAAUACUGUACGGCUAGAGUCUUGUAGAGGAAGGUGGAAUUUCCGGUGUAGCGGUGAAAUGCGUAGAUAUCGGAAGGAACAUCAGUGGCGAAGGCGACCUUCUGGACAAAGACUGACACUGAGGCACGAAAGCAUGGGGAGCAAACAGG
RNAcentral lists this ribosomal RNA (253 nucleotides) under uncultured bacterium. RNAcentral's name for it is "partial 16S ribosomal RNA". It matches the Rfam family "Bacterial small subunit ribosomal RNA", at positions 524 to 776 of the family's 1533-position model. The record is from RNAcentral.